Molecule: long non-coding RNA, 1889 nt
Organism: Acinonyx jubatus (cheetah)
Lineage: Eukaryota; Metazoa; Chordata; Mammalia; Carnivora; Felidae
Exons: 4
Source: RefSeq, a predicted model, not a curated record
AAAAGAAUGAAAUCUUGCCAUUUGCAACUAGUGGAUGGAACUAGAGGGUAUUAUGCUAAGCAAAAUUAGUCAGAGAAAGACAAAUAUCACAUGACUUCACUCAUACGAAGACUUUAAGAGACAAAACAGACGAACAUAAGGGAAGGGAAACAAAAAUAAUAUAAAAACAGGGAGGGGGACAAAACAGAAGAGACUCAUAAAUAUGGAGAGCAAACUGAGGGUUACUGGAGCGGUUGUGGGAGGGGGGAUGGGCUAAAUGGAUAAGGACACUAAGGAAUCGACCCCUGAAAUCACUGUUGCACUACAUGCUAACUAACUUGGAUGUAAAUUAAAAGAAUAAAAUAAAAUUAAAAUUAAAAAAAAAAAGUGAACUUCAGGGCGCCUGGGUGGCCCAGUUGGUUGAGCAUCUGGCUCUUGAUUUCAGCUCAGGUCAUGAUCCCAGGGUCAUGGAAUCGAGCUUUGCUUUGGGUUCCACACGGAGUGUGGAGCCUGUUUAAGAUUCUUUCUCCCUUUCUCCCUCUGCUCCUCUCCCCCUCUCAUGUGUUCUCCCUCUCUCUCUCUCAGAUAAAAAAAAAAGUGAAUUCCAAGGGAGAAUGCUUGAGUUCUGAGGCUCUUCCUUCUCCACCUGCCACAUUCGAGAAGCCCAAGUCCCUGUGGACAUCACCCGGAGAAGGAGCCAUCCUCAGUGGGCCCUGAAUUCCUGACCCACGGAAUUGUGAGAAAUAAGAAAAUAGUUGCUGUUCGAAGCCACUGAGUUUUGGGGAUAGUCUGUUACACGGCAACAGAUAAGACAAACAGGAUGCGUUUAUGCAAUUCUUGCGGAGGGACAGUGCCACGCGGAGGAACAAGCACAAACAAUGAAGGUUAGAUGGACCUGGGUUCGAAUUCCUCAGCCACCAGGAGCAGUGUGAUGCUCGUUGCAGAAGCCUGGCCGCAUCCACUCCGUCCUAACCCUGUGGGCGCCUCCCUAUCUGCAAAUGUUCCAGGUUGCACAGCAUUUUGUAAAGUCCACGGGACUGAUGUAACCCCAGUGUCCAAAGCAGUGCUUGGCGCACAGUGUGUGCUCAGGAAGUACUUGUUGAAUAAACGAGAUGGACAGCCUAAGCCCAUUUGAAGGAGUAGCCCUCUAACAGGCGAGAGAUGAGCCGAGGCUGUGUGUUUGAACUUCUAUCACUACCGUCUGGAAGUCGGCACUCGCUAAGGGCGGACAUCUUUGGUGGCCUCAUCCAUGUUUGGCCCCUCCUGCGUCUCUGCUCACAGAAUCGCAAUUGUGCCCAGAGCAGCGGUGUGUCCAGCCCCCGGUGGUGGAUCCUGACUGGUCCACACUAGUCAUGACGACCCUCCAUCUUCCCAGCCUCCUUUGUGGCUAGGAAUGGCCAUGGAGCCUGUUUUGGCCAAUGAGACCAAAGUGGAAGCCUAUUGGUUAUGGGAAGGGUUUCUGGGAAAGUGUUAGCUUUCUUGGUAGAUGGAGGCCAAUGCAAUUGCACCUGUCCUUCCUCCUUCCUCCGCUGAAGGUGGAUGUGAUUGCUGGAGCAGGAGAAGCUGUCUUGUAACCAUGAGCAAGAGGCCAAGAGAACUGCAAAGAAGCUCUGAAACUUUUUAUAACUUCUUGUUAUAAAACAAAAACAAUUCCCCAAGUCAGUAUAGUCAGGUUUUCUUUUACAUGUGGCCAAAGAAUGCCCAAAUGAUACACAGGUUGUCUGGUUGAAAAAACUGAGUCAUGUAUGACACAUGAGCACGAAGGCUUAAAAGAGUUUCGGAGCCCUUACGUGUCCUUGAUUGAAGGGGUAAACUGGUAGAUUAAGUCCAAGAAACUGAAUUUUAUAGAAGACUUUUAUAAAGAGUGUCAGGAGUCAUGUGCUCAGCUUGUCAAUAAAAACAAGAAAAUC